GUUAAAAAUUAAAGCAAAUUAAGAAUUAAAUUUAGAUAAAAAUUGAAAUUCAAUGUGUUUCUUACAAAAAUUUGAUGGAAGAAGCAAAAUCGAUGAUAUUUUCUCUCUGAAAUCGGGACGAGACGGAUAAGAUAACAACGAUCAUUUGUGCAGUUUAAUUAAAUAAUGGAGAUUAAAUAAUUAAUGGAAUGAUUUCAAAAGUGUGAUAGGUUAUGUAUCACGACUUUCGUGCAACUAUGAAAAUAUUUUGUUUUCGGGUAAUCGAUGAUUCAUGACUGUACAUCGCUCGACAUAUUUCGAUGAACUUCAAGCAUAUCUUCUUCGUUCAAUUCGAUAAUCGAAAUCGCAGUGUCAGAGAUGUCAUUUUUCCGUCAAGAAUCGUGUUUUUGGAUGUUUCGCUUCAGGUUAUUAGUUUGCUAUAAGACAGGAAAAAGUAAUUUCAAUAUGAACAAUCAUUUCAACAAUCAUUCAACGCGAUGAUUAAUCAGAUAAGCGAUAAAAUUUGAUUUUUUAUAAGGAAAAUAUAUACAUUUUUAUUUUCUUC
This 544-nucleotide long non-coding RNA is filed under the name Apis mellifera (honey bee). RNAcentral's name for it is "uncharacterized LOC100578019, transcript variant X6". The record is from RNAcentral. Lineage: Eukaryota; Metazoa; Arthropoda; Insecta; Hymenoptera; Apidae.